Molecule: ribosomal RNA, 417 nt
Filed under: uncultured Hymenobacter sp.
Lineage: Bacteria; Pseudomonadati; Bacteroidota; Cytophagia; Cytophagales; Hymenobacteraceae
Description: bacterial SSU rRNA
Rfam family: Bacterial small subunit ribosomal RNA
Source: RNAcentral
UAGUGAGUUUGAUCCUGGCUCAGGAUGAACGCUAGCGGCAGGCCUAAUACAUGCAAGUCGAACGGGUGUAGCAAUACACUAGUGGCGCACGGGUGCGUAACGCGUAACCAACCUGCCCGAAACUGGGGGAUAGCCCGCCGAAAGGCGGAUUAAUACCGCAUAACCCAACAGUGUGGCAUCACACCAUUGGUAAAGAUUUUAUUGGUUUUCGGAUGGGGUUUGCGUGACAUUAGCUAGUUGGCGGGGUAACGGCCCACCAAGGCGACGAUGUCUAGGGGGACCUGAGAGGGUGAUCCCCCACACUGGCACUGAGAUACGGGGCCAGACUCCGUACGGGGAGGCAGCAGUAGGGAAUAUUGGGGCAAUGGGGCGAGAGCCCUGACCCAGCCAUGCCGCGUGCCCGGAUGAAGGCCUUUC